Morone saxatilis (striped sea-bass) is the source of this 938-nucleotide long non-coding RNA. RefSeq lists it as uncharacterized. The transcript is spliced from 3 exons. The record is from RefSeq and is a predicted model, not a curated record. NCBI's taxonomy places the organism in Eukaryota, Metazoa, Chordata, Actinopteri, Moronidae.
ACAAGAGGACGAGGAGUGUGUGAAACUCUACAAGGCAAGCUUCACUUUGAGAACAUUUGCAACAGCAGAGUUGCAUCCAAAUGACUGUGUGUUAAUGUCUGAUUUCUGAAAAUUAGUCCUACUGGCAGAGAUGCCUAUUGCAUCUGGAGCUGCAGGCAGAGUGGAUGUAAGAGUAGAUACAAGCACAAAGAGGAAGACCAAACCUGCCAACAGGAACUGUGACUCCUAUCUGCAAAGAUACCAGGAGCAGAGAAAGAAGAACAAAGGCAACUUGUUGCAGGUGAGUGCUGUCAUCAACUAGAGACUCAUCAGUGAUUGGUUAAGAGGCUGUCUGGCGCAAAGUGGUCAUGUGGCUGUCGUUCAUCUGAUUAAGUUUGUUUCUACUCAGGGCAUCACAGAUCCAAGUGAUCAGGUGAAUGACGGAGCCAAAGAAGGGAACCCACAGGGCAAUGGCGGCAGCGAGGAUCCCACUUCAGGAAAACCAUCCAGUGGAGAGAGAUCCAAAAAGUCUCAGCUGUGCGUUCUCCUUUAAGGCCAUCACAUCUCAUGUGGACAUUUAAUGAACUCGCCUUUCACACUCUACGUUAUCAUGUAUUAUUUAAGUGCCAACCCCUUGUGUGUCUUGUGUCCUUGCUUUACCUUUACAGUUGUGAGGAAAAAAGGGAUCAAAGGUUGUUACUGUGCAACACUGUGCACGAUGUUUCCUUUUUGUAAAGCUAAGGCUAUAUGUCUAUCAGUGUUAAAUUCAAUAACAGAAGAUUGUUCAAACAGGUUAUCUUUUAACUGAAUUAACUGAACUUUUAUUGGUGCUUGUCAGUGUUAAUAAUGUUGCAGUAUAAUACUGCAAGAUCUAAAUUCUUAAAAGCAAUAUUUAAAUGCUUAAAUUAUCAUUAUGUCAUAUGUAUUGAAUAGUAUUUCAUGUUGUGUUAUAAAACAGU